GCCGUACGAUGUCGACUUGGAGGUUGUGCCCUUGAGGCGUGGCUUCCGGAGCUAACGCGUUAAGUCGACCGCCUGGGGAGUACGGCCGCAAGGUUAAAACUCAAAUGAAUUGACGGGGGCCCGCACAAGCGGUGGAGCAUGUGGUUUAAUUCGAUGCAACGCGAAGAACCUUACCUGGUCUUGACAUCCACGGAAGUUUUCAGAGAUGAGAAUGUGCCUUCGGGAACCGUGAGACAGGUGCUGCAUGGCUGUCGUCAGCUCGUGUUGUGAAAUGUUGGGUUAAGUCCUGCAACGAGCGCAACCCUUAUCCUUUGUUGCCAGCGGUCCGGCCGGGAACUCAAAGGAGACUGCCAGUGAUAAACUGGAGGAAGGUGGGGAUGACGUCAAGUCAUCAUGGCCCUUACGACCAGGGCUACACACGUGCUACAAUGGCGCAUACAAAGAGAAGCGACCUCGCGAGAGCAAGCGGACCUCAUAAAGUGCGUCGUAGUCCGGAUUGGAGUCUGCAACUCGACUCCAUGAAGUCGGAAUCGCUAGUAAUCGUGGAUCAGAAUGCCACGGUGAAUACGUUCCCGGGCCUUGUACACACCGCCCGUCAUACCAUGGGAGUGGGUUGCAAAAGAAGUAGGUAGCUUAACCUUCGGGAGGGCGCUUACCACUUUGUGAUUCAUGACUGGGGUGAAGUCUAAAGGGGUAAAAACAUGAA
RNAcentral lists this ribosomal RNA (706 nucleotides) under Escherichia coli. RNAcentral describes it as "bacterial SSU rRNA". It matches the Rfam family "Bacterial small subunit ribosomal RNA", at positions 799 to 1508 of the family's 1533-position model. The record is from RNAcentral. Lineage: Bacteria; Pseudomonadati; Pseudomonadota; Gammaproteobacteria; Enterobacterales; Enterobacteriaceae.